AGGGCAUCCAUGUCUUGUAAUUGGAAUGAGUAGACUUUAAAUCCCUUUACGAGUACCAAUUGGAGGGCAAGUCUGGUGCCAGCAGCCGCGGUAAUUCCAGCUCCAAUAGCGUAUAUUAAAAUUGUUGCGGUUAAAAAGCUCGUAGUUGGAUUUCUGCUGAGGACGACCGGUCCGCCCUCUGGGUGAGUAUCUGGCUUGGCCUUGGCAUCCUCUUGGAGAACGUAGUUGCACUUGACUGUGUGGUGCGGUAUCCAGGACUUUUACUUUGAGGAAAUUAGAGUGUUUCAAGCAGGCACACGCCUUGAAUACAUUAGCAUGGAAUAAUAAGAUAGGACCUCGGUUCUAUUUUGUUGGUUUCUAGAACUGUGGUAAUGAUUAAUAGGGAUAGUUGGGGGCAUUCGUAUUUAACUGUCAGAGGUGAAAUUCUUGGAUUUCCGAAAGACGAACUACUGCGAAAGCAUUUACCAAGGAUGUUUUCAUUAAUCAAGAACGAAAGUUAGGGGAUCGAAGAUGAUUAGAUACCAUCGUAGUCUUAACCAUAACCUAUGCC
RNAcentral lists this ribosomal RNA (550 nucleotides) under uncultured dinoflagellate. RNAcentral describes it as "SSU rRNA". It matches the Rfam family "Eukaryotic small subunit ribosomal RNA", at positions 487 to 1043 of the family's 1831-position model. Lineage: Eukaryota; Dinophyceae. The record is from RNAcentral.